RNAcentral lists this unclassified non-coding RNA (684 nucleotides) under Hevea brasiliensis (rubber tree). The record is from RNAcentral. Lineage: Eukaryota; Viridiplantae; Streptophyta; Magnoliopsida; Malpighiales; Euphorbiaceae.
UCUCUUCCCAUCUUUUGGAGGAACUGAAGUUCAAAAUGAUAAAGUAAAUAAGAGAACUGAACAAGUUUUGAAGUGGUAACAUAUUUUCUCAGUGGGUGAAGAGACACGGCUUGUGUACAUGAACAAGAGCAUAUUAGAACCAACAAAUAAACUUUUCAACCAAAAUGUGAAAUAAAGUUUUUAUGUAUGUAGACACAGCAGAUAUUCAAACAUUAUAUUCAUCACCCGCACGCUGCUAGUGAAUAUAUAUUGUAUUCCACAGUACAAAUCACAACUAUCAUGGAGAUGUUUCUUUUCUGAUUCAGCAGGGGAAUUACAGUAUAAAAAAUCCAGGCAUUAGUAGUAAAAGUAGAAAUAAUUUUUGCAUAAAGCUUCCACCUAAAGUUCAAUACCUUGAUGCUAGCUAGAUUGCAGGUCUAAAUUUAUGUAAAAUGUAACCUUCUCUCUGGGCAUGGCCAGGGGUUUAAGACUCCUCGAGGUGAUUAUUGAGUAACGGCAGUUAAAUAAUUGCCCAGUCAGAGCCAAGAAAAUGAAAUUAAAAGGUAAUGUUAACACAAUUACGUGUCUUUAAUAUUUGUGCCAAUGACAACAAAGAUACACAAAUCAUAUCAUUUGUAGUCACUAUUUUGAGAGCAGAAGACAUAAAUGUACCCUGAGGCGGAUUAUCCUCCAAGAGUUCAGGUA